AUUGAACGCUGGCGGCAGGCUUAACACAUGCAAGUCGAGCGGGGUGAUGGUGCUUGCACUAUCACCUAGCGGCGGACGGGUGAGUAAUGCUUAGGAAUCUGCCUAUUAGUGGGGGACAACAUCUCGAAAGGGAUGCUAAUACCGCAUACGUCCUACGGGAGAAAGCAGGGGAUCACUUGUGACCUUGCGCUAAUAGAUGAGCCUAAGUCGGAUUAGCUAGUUGGUGGGGGAAAGGCCUACCAAGGCGACGAUCUGUAGCGGGUCUGAGAGGAUGAGCCGCCACACUGGGACUGGGACACGGCCCAGACUCCUACGGGAGGCAGCAGUGGGGAAUAUUGGACAAUGGGGGGAACCCUGAUCCAGCCAUGACGCGUGUGUGAAGAAGGCCUUAUGGUUGUAAAGCACUUUAAGCGAGGAGGAGGCUCUUUCGGUUAAUACCCAAGAUGAGUGGACGUUACUCGCAGAAUAAGCACCGGCUAACUCUGUGCCAGCAGCCGCUGUAA
RNAcentral lists this ribosomal RNA (503 nucleotides) under uncultured bacterium. RNAcentral's name for it is "partial 16S ribosomal RNA". It matches the Rfam family "Bacterial small subunit ribosomal RNA", at positions 30 to 523 of the family's 1533-position model. The record is from RNAcentral.